CCUGCAUGGUGGCACAUGCUUGUAAUUUUGCAAACAAGGAGGUGAGGCUGGUGGAUCUCUUGUGCUCAAGAGUUCUAUGCCACAGUGCUCUAAGCUACUGCCACACAGUUUGGCAUCAAUGUAGUAAGCACCAGGAGUCUGGAGCUCCCAGGUUGCCUAAAGAGGGGGGAAAUGGUCCAGAUCAGAAAUGCAGCAGGUCAAAGCUUCAGUGCCAAUCAGUAGUGGAAUUAGGCUUGUAAGUAGCCCCUGUACUUCAAGUCUGGGCAAGGUUGAGAGACUUUUU
This 283-nucleotide signal recognition particle RNA is filed under the name Vombatus ursinus (common wombat). RNAcentral's name for it is "Metazoan signal recognition particle RNA (ENSVURG00010005839.1)". It matches the Rfam family "Metazoan signal recognition particle RNA". Rfam says of the family: The signal recognition particle (SRP) is a universally conserved ribonucleoprotein. It is involved in the co-translational targeting of proteins to membranes. Lineage: Eukaryota; Metazoa; Chordata; Mammalia; Diprotodontia; Vombatidae. The record is from RNAcentral.